Molecule: non-coding RNA, 6241 nt
Organism: Macaca mulatta (Rhesus monkey)
Lineage: Eukaryota; Metazoa; Chordata; Mammalia; Primates; Cercopithecidae
Source: RefSeq, a predicted model, not a curated record
AGAAAUGGAUCUUCUCCCCAGAGACAAGCGCAUACCGACACAGACACACACAUACACACAUACACACACACACACACAAAUGUACACACAAUUCCAGGUUGCUCACGGACCCCCUCUAGGAGAUGCUACUGUCACUCAUUCAUAUUUCCAGUUCUACUCCUCUUCCGGGCACACUGGAGAAUUACACUUCCUUGCUGACUGGAGAUAAGUCACAGCUUUGGCCAAUGAAGUGUGAGUGGAAGUUUUCAGAACCUUUAAGAGCCUGUACGCAAUUUGCCACGCUUUCUCUUUUUGCUUUGUCACCAAAACUGCUGUGUUCCAGAUAGUGACUACUCUGUCUGCGUGGGUCCUGGAGAGAGGAGGAUGCAGAGUACAGCACUUAGCCACCCUGCAAUGGACACAUAGAGUGAGUGAGAAAUGAACCUAGUGGUUUAGAGCAUCUGGGAUUGGGGGAUGGUCGAUUACUGUUGCUGGACCUAGGCUGUCCUGCUGCAUAGCAGAGCACUCUCCACCUGACAGAAAAUAAUCUAUGUCGGAAAGAUCCUAUUCAGGGGAGUUUAAGCUUUCCCCCGACUUUUCUUAAUGAAGUUCCUUUCACCUCAUAUUGCUAUAUUUCGUUCUCUUUACCUAGAAGAAUCUUUCCCUGGUUCUUCCCAGGACUCAUCCUUCAAAUCUCAGCUCAUGUGUUACCUUCUCACACUGGUCCUUCUUGGCCUCUUUCCUACCCUUAUCCCAGCCCCAGUCACUAUGAUUCACUCCAACCAUUUUGUUUUUUCACAAACUGCAUCACAGUCUGUAACAACUUAUUUAUUUUCUCUUACUCUUCAGUUCUGAAUUCACAAUACGGAAUUUUUGCUAUCAAAAAUGACUCAUAAAUAAUGUCAUGCUACUUUCAUUUAUGAACUUAAGAAAAUGAAAUGCAUUCAAAACAUGGAACCUUUUCAUUUAAUAUGAUAAAAAUAGACCAUGAAUGUUCUAUAGCAAGUCACAUAUUUUACAUUUUUAAAAACUACGUUAGUAAAAAUCUCUAGCUAAAAAUAUUGGACAGAUGUCCAAAUGUUUGGAUGUGCAUCAAGAGCAAACCACUGAACCUUGGUAUUUACCCAGUUACCAUUAAGAGGUCAACUUGACAUUUUGGUUUCUUUUCAGAUAGUUGUGGCCAACAGCUCUUACAACCUUUGAUCCCAACCCAGUUAAAUUGUAGUUUUUGUUACUCAUUGAUAUACAGUUUUUGUUUUCUGUGUUUUUUAAAAUUUUACUCAGUAUAUGCACCAAAUGGUUUUCCUUUACCAUGACAGCCAGGAUUAAUCGUGAUGUUUCAGAAACUAUUAAGAGGCUAACCCUUUGUUCUGCAUCCAGGGAUAUAGAAAAUGUCUAAAAUCAUCAUGGGAUAUCACUGAAAAGGUUUCAAAACAAAGCCAUGAUCUCUAGAAAUGUGUCCUUGAUGGGUGGGUCUUCAUUUGAUGCGUGGUGAGUAACUGGUGUUUUUAUCAUGCCAAAAAUUCAGGAUCCAUGGGUACCUUUUUCUACUUUUCAUCAGGAGGCAAAAUUCAUACUGCAUUUUACAUGUAGAAAGGAGUUUGGCCAGAUGAAUAGAAUGGAAGUUUUUCUAAGCAGGACCAAGUUUUCAUGAUCUCAGACAGCAUCUCAAAUGGUUUGAAUGACUAGGCAGACCAGCCUGUGAAAUCGUGAGGGAACAGCGUUGCUUAACCAACAAUCCAAGUAGACAGACAGGCCAAAAGUAAAGUGUGGUAAGAAAAAGGGGGAGAGCAAUUUCAGGUGAGAAAAAUAAUAGCUGCAAAAUGAUAAAGUUACAGAGUGAAGAGAUUUAGGAAGAGAUGGUAGUAGAAAGAAUAGAUGAUGAUUUACAAAAGGGGUGGGGUAAAUCAUAGAAAAUUGCUAGAGAAGAAUAGAAUAAUAAAGGUUAUAGUACCUAAGAAUGUCUGUUUCCUAGGUGAAGAGUAUGUACUAUUGACUUAAUAUGAAAUUAAGAAAUAUUUUACUUUCAGAAAUUGAGGCUAAGUGAGCCAAGGAAAAGGUCAUCCAUCAAGAACAAAGCAGGAUUUCUCAACCGUGGCAGGACAUUAGGAUCAUCUGUAGAACUUUAAAAGAUUGUUUAAUUUUUUUCAUUUGGUUUCCUUUAUAGUUGAUUUUGUUUAACUUUGCCAGUGAAAUUUUUUUAAAAAAUGCUUUUUUUUUUUUAGUUAAAAGCUUAACUCAGAGUCAUUACUAGACCUGUGGAAAAUCACUGCUAGUUUUAGCAAAUUUUUCUGGAGGGUUUGAACUUCAAGACGUCUUUUUUUUUGGCACCCUUCUUAUAAUUUUCAUUUUGAAAUUUUUAUGUCAUUGCACAGCAAAAUGUUGCUUCAGUAUUUCUAUCCUGAAUCAACACUAAUUACCAAUUCAAAUGCUCUCCCUCAUUGAGAAAGACAUACUAAUUUCAAGAUCUACAUGGCUAAACAGUGUUUCAAGUUCAAGUUUCCCACCACUAUCAACAGACUGUAGAAAAUAGAAAAAUACUGAAAGAAAAUUAAUGGUUUCCAGGAAAAGCAUGACAUUCAGAAAAAAAUAAGAUGCUUUGCAUGCAAAUAUUCUUGCUAAAAAAUAUAAUUUUUCAGAAAAAUUAUACCUUUGCCACCACAUAUCUGAUGAUGUAGAAUUCAUAGUAAGCAUUAAAAAGACACUAAAAUGUAAAUAUCAAGGAUUUCCAUUUGCAAUCCUAAGGUACAGGUAAAAUUGUUUCUAGAAUACUCCCAUUCUCAAAAGAAAGGACCCAAACAGCCAGAUAUUUUCUUAUAUCAAACAUUUUUAAAUUUUUUCUUUUUAUACUUGUGAAACAUACCCUUCAUGCAUAAACUGAAGAAAUUCCUGAUUAGUUGAUUCUGAAUGUUAACCUAUAGAUUAAAAUAAAUACAUUUCAGCAUUGUAGUACAGUGAGAAGGGGAACAGGUAUAGAGUUUGAAUAUAAAAAUAGAACACAAAAUUCAGCCUAAUGAAUAAAUGUGAAACAGGUCAUUGUUUUCUGAAUCACUAAAUUUUGUCAUCAUUUACAAGCUAAACAGGCCAUCCUUUACUUGAUACUAUGUAGAUUGUGUAUCCCCAGUGACUUUUAAAUAAAGAGCAAGUUAGAUUCAUUUGGUUGAGCAUCUUCUUGUCCUCACUGAGCAUGAACUCCCUCUGCUCAUGGGCACCUCAUUAUCAUACAGCUCAACUUUUGUUCCUGUUUCUCUUUUUGCCCUGAUUAUUUUCCUACUUCACUAAACCUAACUAUCUUUCUUUCAAGUAUCACGUCUUUCAUGCAGCUCUUCCAAACCGCCAAACUCUCUUUUCCUCUCUCUUGAUCUUAGUAGAAUCACAAAGCCACACCCAAUGGGAAAGGAAAGUGGAAAAGCAGCUCUACUGGUGGGUUAGAUAUGUUUGUUGUUUUAUGUUCAUCCUGGCAAUCACACCUGAUGACAACACGAACAUUGUCUGGUGCCUGAUAGCUAGUCUCUUGCAGAGAAAAUAAAGAGAACUAUUGCCUAUGUGCUGACUAUCUACAGAUACUUCCCACAUGUCAUAAGUAAUGCACACAAGACCUGUUGGCUAGGGGCCAUCCCUUAGAGGAUGUCUUUAUGUUGUAUCUUACUAAGUCCCCCAUUACAAAUCAGAAGGAGCAUCAAGAUGUCUCAAUCUCCUGCAGAAAAGAAAGGGUCAACAUACCCUAAAAUCAUUGUCAUUGGCAAACUUUCUCAAAAUUCAAUUAGUCACCAUAAGAUCAUACCACAUCACAAACCGGUUAUGUGAGAAUGCAUAUUAUGGCAUAGGCAUGUCCAGACAGCAUGAUACUUAGAAUCAGACUUUCCCAGGCACCCUACAGAGAUUUGUUUUUCUAUGACAAAAAUGAAUAAAACACAUCUGCUUUAAAAUUCUUCCAGACUAAAAUACUAUUAGUGUAGCAUCUAUCAAAUCUGAGAAAAAUAACAGAUACCAGAUAGUUGAUAGACAUAUUAACCAUUUAUGCUCUAGGAAUCUAUUUAUUCAUGUUCCUGACUCUUACAUUCUAGAAAGCAGUAUACUCAGUCCUUAUAGUCUCUAACAUUAAAUUUACAUUUUAUUGUUUGGUCCUCAACUUCUCAAAACACACUCCCAAGAAAUCACUUUUGAAGUCGACUACCACAAUUGCUGUAAAUUAGUAAGCUGGUUUACUCACUGCUCCAACAACAACUGUGAGGUAAGUUUGGAGCUGAAUAAAAGAAACUAUCACAACACUCAUUUUUGCAGACCUUUUUUCUUCGAUCCUGAUUAUCUGUUUACAUUUAGCUCAGUUGUUUAAAGUUACUUGUAAUUAUAAGUUUCCUUAUUGCCUAUGAUAGUCAUUAUAUAUGUAAAUUUAAUAAAUGCUCAGCACUACUAUGUUUAUGUAACUGAAGUAAUUAUUUGUUUAUUCUCUGCAACUCCAUAAAAGGAAACAUUCUAACAUGCAAAUCUUACUAUAUCACUCCCUGGCUAAAAAUCGUCCCAUGACUGCAACUAGAUCCAGAAUUAAGUACAAGUUUCUAAGUGUACUUGGCCACUGCAUUUAUAAAAGUACGCAGAGCUCCUGUCUUUCUUUCCUGCUCUCUCAAGAAAGUUCUACCUCUAGACCUAUUCUGGAUCUUUUAGGAUGUAGUUAUUAGAAGGUUAGACAAAUAAAUGACCAGAGAAUGAGAAAGACUUGGAGACAUUAAGUAAACUUAAUAAAGAGAUAGAUAAGUGAAAAGGAAAGAGAGGGAGAAGGGAAAAGAUGAGAGCUGGAUGUCAAGAAAAUACUGAAGGAUUAAGAGUUUACAGAGGUAGUUUUUGGGUGUUAGAAAAUAGGAGGAAUAGAAAAUAGAAAUUGGAUAGAGGAAAGUGAUGAUUUUUAUAUUUUUUGAAAAGUACAGUUAAGAUUAGAGUUGCUUGAUGAUUUUUUGAUUACUCAGACUCGGCUUUUUUAGAGGCCCCCCUCCAUAAAGAAACUGGGCUACACGGGACUGUGGGAUCUAUUAGGAUUAGAGAAGUAAAAUGCCCUGAUCUUUUUCUCAUUUGGCCACCAGGAAUGCACUAAUCUUUUUUUCAGUGUUAGCCCACCACACUCACUCUGGCUCCAAUACUUGCCGACAGUUUGCAGAGGCCACCAUGUUUAUUCUCAUAUCCAGGUCACUGCAUUUGUCAAAUAUUGCUCUGUCUACCUAGAGCACUCACAGUCACUUCCUCUUUUAACACUAAAGUCUACAGUUUCUUCCACAAUCAGCUUAGUUAUUCUACAGGAAGAUUUACUCCUACCUCUCUUACAUUCUCAGUUAAGAUCUAAUAGAUACAAAUACAGGGAACAGAGAAAGUACAUGUCAGCUUUAUCAGUCUGCUUACUUCAGACCCUUUCAUUACCCUGAGCUUCAUGAAAGCAAGAUGGUAAAGAGCAAUAAAACAAACAAACAACAAACCAACCAACAGAAAAUGAUUCAUAAAGAAGCUAGUUUCUGGUUUAUAGUAAAAUCACUGGGAUUUGUAUUACCAACAAGUCUUUGAAAAUGGUAGGGUGUCUAUAAAAUCGUCAAGAAACCAAUCUUCUUAAAAGUAAACUCCCAAAACAAAAAUGCAAGGAAAACAAAGCUUUGAUUACACAAAUAUCUGAAAUUUCGUUACCUGAAAUUGAUUAUAAACAGACCUCCAGAAAUGAUGGUGGUAUGGUAGCAGAUAUCCAAAAUCCUUGCUAGAAACUUCCUAAGAUUUCCUAAGCCAAAUCCCAGAGGAAAAAUAAGGAUAGAGAAAAUUAUGCAAAGUUCACAUUGGUUGAAGUCCAGUGGUAAAUAAUGUAUCUAUUCUAGUUAAGCAGAAACUUAUUUUACAGUCAUUAGGAAGCUGAAUAAACAAAUGCCAAACUGAGUUUUCAGAUAUAACUGAAAAUCACACUAAGCUAUGAAUAAAAUCGCUGCUCUAUAAUCAAAAAACCUACCUGCAAAACUUGACAGCCACCACCCCAUGAUCAGGACACAACCACCAAAUUGGGUAUGCAGGAUAGCAUUUGCCAGCAGAACCAGAAGAAUGGCCUGAACCUCACUUCUUUCUUCCAAACCUUAUGUAAGUGCAUUUGUAUAGUGAACGUGAAUCACAUUUAGUCCCCUAUCUUAGAGAUUCAAGGAAUUAAUGUUCUGUUUUCCAGCUCUUCUACACAGAAAGACACACAAGAAAGACACACAAGAAAGACAGAAAGAAAGACAAAAAGACAGAAAGAAAGAAA